This is a regulatory RNA element of Ruminococcus sp., 76 nucleotides long. It matches the Rfam family "S10-Clostridia ribosomal protein leader". The record is from Rfam. Lineage: Bacteria; Bacillati; Bacillota; Clostridia; Eubacteriales; Oscillospiraceae.
UGAUGUGCGAUGAAGCGAGAGGUUGCCGCAAUUUGCGGGUAAUUUUCGCAGAGUAUGUCCGAACAAAAACGGGCGA